Molecule: unclassified non-coding RNA, 200 nt
Filed under: Pleosporales sp.
Lineage: Eukaryota; Fungi; Ascomycota; Dothideomycetes; Pleosporales
Description: partial internal transcribed spacer 2
Source: RNAcentral
UUAAGUUCAGCGGGUAUCCCUACCUGAUCCGAGGUCAAGCGCAUAGGUGUAGGCUUCGUGGACGCCGCAGGGCGACGCGGCGCGCAAAAUGUGCUGCGCUCCAACGCCAAACUGCCGGCUGCCAAUGGAUUUGAGGCGAGUUCGCGCGCGCGGCGGAACAAACGCCCAACACCAAGCAGAGCUUGAGGGUACAAAUGGCG